RNAcentral lists this ribosomal RNA (424 nucleotides) under uncultured bacterium. RNAcentral describes it as "bacterial SSU rRNA". It matches the Rfam family "Bacterial small subunit ribosomal RNA", at positions 917 to 1344 of the family's 1533-position model. The record is from RNAcentral.
GGGCCCGCACAAGCGGUGGAGCAUGUGGUUUAAUUCGAUGAUACGCGAGGAACCUUACCAGGGCUUAAAUGUAGUCUGACAGGUCUGGAAACAGACUUUUCUUCGGACAGAUUACAAGGUGCUGCAUGGUUGUCGUCAGCUCGUGCCGUGAGGUGUCAGGUUAAGUCCUAUAACGAGCGCAACCCCUGUGGUUAGUUGCCAGCGAGUAAUGUCGGGAACUCUAGCCAGACUGCCGGUGCAAACCGCGAGGAAGGUGGGGAUGACGUCAAAUCAUCACGGCCCUUACGUCCUGGGCCACACACGUGCUACAAUGGUAGGGACAGAGAGCAGCCACUUCGCGAGAAGGAGCGAAUCUACAAACCCUAUCACAGUUCGGAUCGCAGUCUGCAACUCGACUGCGUGAAGCUGGAAUCGCUAGUAAUCG